UUCUAUUGCGCUACUUCCGCUCCUGGGCUGCCAUCUUGCUGUUCCGCCGCCUGGGCAAGGAGACCGAGAGAGUCGCCGCUGCUGCCGUCAUGUCCUUGCAGCUGCUGAGGAAGGGGCUGCGGCUGCCCAGCUUGGCCGCCCGCCCGGCCAGGCGCAGCUCUUCCAACCCUCCCCAAAACCCCGUCGGGCCGCUGGAGAGUAUCAUUGCCCUGACUGUUAUGUUCACGGCAUGCAUGGGACCGGCCGGCUAUAUCUUGGUAAAUUUGGAAAGCUACAAGAAGAGAGAAUGAGAAGGAAAAAACCAAGCUCCUGUCCUGAUGCAUGGGUGCAAGCCCUCUGCGACAGGAUCUCCUCCAUUCCAGGGACUGGCAUCUCUCGUGCCCUUCCUCCACGAGGACCCGUGUCCUGAAAUACAUUCUGCGCAGCUUCCCGGACCACAGAGGAUGGAGCUCAAGAUGGCUGCUCUUGGGAGACUUAAUGUCUGUUAACAAUAAAUCCUCUUACUGA
This is a long non-coding RNA of Gekko japonicus, 507 nucleotides long. RefSeq lists it as uncharacterized. Lineage: Eukaryota; Metazoa; Chordata; Lepidosauria; Squamata; Gekkonidae. The record is from RefSeq and is a predicted model, not a curated record. The transcript is spliced from 2 exons.